ACGGCUCAGUAACACGUAGUCAACAUGCCCAGGGGACGUGGAUAACCUCGGGAAACUGAGGCUAAACCGCGACAGGCCAAGAUUUCUGGAAUGGAUCAUGGCUUAAAUCUAUAUGGCCCCUGGAUUGGACUGCGGCCGAUCAGGCUGUUGGUGAGGUAAUGGCCCACCAAACCUGUAACCGGUACGGGCUCUGAGAGGAGGAGCCCGGAGAUGGGCACUGAGACAAGGGCCCAGGUCCUACGGGGCGCAGCAGUCGCGAAACCUUUGCAAUACACGAAAGUGUGACAGGGUCAUCCCGAGUGCCGACCGCUGAGGUUGGCUUUUACCCAGUCUAGAAAGCUGGGGGAAUAAGGAGAGGGCAAGUCUGGUGUCAGCCGCCGCGGUAAUACCAGCUCUCCGAGUGGUGUGGACGUUUAUUGGGCCUAAAGCAUCCGUAGCUGGCUGAUCAAGUCCCCUGUUAAACCCACCGAUUUAAUCGUUGGCUUGCGGGGGAUACUGCUCGGCUAGGGGACGAGAGAGGCAGACGGUAUUCCCGGGGUAGGGGUGAAAUCCUAUAAUCCCGAGAAGACCACCAGUGGCGAAGGCUGUCUGCUAGAACGCGCCCGACGGUGAGGGAUGAAAGCUGGGGGAGCGAACCGGAUUAGAUACCCGGGUAGUCCCAGCUGUAAACGAUGCAGGCUAGGUGUUUGGACGGCCACGCGCCGUUCUAGUGCCGCAGGGAAGCUGUUAAGCCUGCCGCCUGGGGAGUACGAUCGCAAGAUUGAAACUUAAAGGAAUUGGCGGGGGAG
Molecule: ribosomal RNA, 788 nt
Filed under: uncultured archaeon
Lineage: Archaea
Description: bacterial SSU rRNA
Rfam family: Archaeal small subunit ribosomal RNA
Source: RNAcentral